Molecule: ribosomal RNA, 390 nt
Filed under: Barusia sp. 1 HZ-2020
Lineage: Eukaryota; Metazoa; Arthropoda; Arachnida; Araneae; Leptonetidae
Description: partial large subunit ribosomal RNA
Rfam family: Archaeal large subunit ribosomal RNA
Source: RNAcentral
UAGCUGCAGAUUCCUGUACUAAGGUAGCAUAAUCACUUGUCUUUUAAUUAAAGUCUAGAAUGAACGAUUGCAUGAAUAAAAAAUUUCAUAAUUUUAUUAUUAUCAAAUUAUACCUUUCAUAAAAAUAUGAAAAUACAAAAGAAGACGACAAGACCCUAUUGAACUUAACUAAAGUUUCACUGGGGCAGUAUAUUAACAACCUUUUUAGUUCUAUAUUUUCCUCCUAACCUUUUAAACAACCAUCAAGUUACCAUAGGGAUAACAGCGCAAUUUAUUUUAACAGCUCUUAUACAAAAAUAAGAUUACGACCUCGAUGUUGAAUUAAUUUACCUAAUAUGCGCAAAAAUAUAUAAGGAAGACUGUUCGUCUUUAAAAAAAUUACAUGAUCUG